RNAcentral lists this ribosomal RNA (525 nucleotides) under Triticum aestivum (bread wheat). RNAcentral's name for it is "partial small subunit ribosomal RNA". The record is from RNAcentral. Lineage: Eukaryota; Viridiplantae; Streptophyta; Magnoliopsida; Poales; Poaceae.
AUGUUUAAUGAAGAUGAUAUUUUUAGCAUCCCAAGUUCCGAUAUGCAAAGUUGUUAUGAUGAUAGCAUGCGUCCUACCUAUGAUGAUUAUAUUGAUGAAAGUGGGUUCGAAAGAGAGUCAAAUUUAGGAAGUAGUGAUCCCACUAUUUUGGAGGAUGUUGAAUUUUAUUGUGAUGAAUAUGAAAGUGGAUUUGGAAGAGUGUCAACUUUAUUUAGUGAUUCCACUAUCUUGGGAGAGGUUUCAAUCGAUUAUGAUGAGAACGAAGUUGCUACUUAUGAUGAUUAUUGUGAUGAAACUUAUACUAUAAAAAGUAGUGAUGAUUAUAUUUACAAACCUUGUCAUGAUUAUGAUUAUCCUUUUUCUGAACAUUACUCUUUUAAUGUGGAAACAAUUUUUAGUGUUCAAGUCUCUUAUGAUACUCCCACUAUUCCGAAUGAGAAGAAUUUUGCUUAUGUGAAGAGUAGUAAAUUUUCUAUGCUUGUAGAUCAUGAAAAUAAUGCUUUAGGUGCAGGUUAUAUUGUUUAA